Molecule: long non-coding RNA, 551 nt
Organism: Cryptotermes secundus
Lineage: Eukaryota; Metazoa; Arthropoda; Insecta; Blattodea; Kalotermitidae
Exons: 4
Source: RefSeq, a predicted model, not a curated record
AAAAUUCGACCAAAGUCACUACAGAUAUAUAAGACCUGUAGCAAGUGGCAUACACCAAAGCACGAGCGGUUGUCGCAGCAGUGAGAGGGCUCAGUAACUUCGUUAAGUGUCUGAAAACUAUUUGUGGGCAUCUUGAGAACUCCAUCAUACCAAGGAUACCCCAGAAACUCCAAGUUCGCUACAAUGAGGACUGCCGUGUUCCUGUUUGCAAUUCUCGUCGUGCUCGGCACCUUCAUCGCUCAGUACCCUGCAGAAGCGGCCUGCGAUUUCCAGCAAUGUUGGGUCACAUGCCAGAGGCAGUACACUAUCUAUUUCGAGAGGGCAUUCUGUGACGGAGGUACUUGCAAAUGUGUGUACCGGACAUCAUAGCCACGGAAUUUCCCGUUAAUUCUCAAAUGGAGACGAGCAGCUGCAGAUUGACAACUUCUUAUUCUCAAGGGGAUUAUACACGCACACUUUUGGUGACGUUUAGAUUCUAUGCCGAGUAUUUGAUGUAACUACUGCUUACUGACUGUUUAAGUAGUUUAAAAUUAAAGAAUGCAAAUCACGAG